GCACAAGCGGUGGAUGAUGUGGAUUAAUUCGAUGCAACGCGAAAACCUUACCUACCCUUGACAUGUCCGGAAUCCCGAAGAGAUUUGGGAGUGCUCGCAAGAGAACCGGAACACAGGUGCUGCAUGGCUGUCGUCAGCUCGUGUCGUGAGAUGUUGGGUUAAGUCCCGCAACGAGCGCAACCCUUGUCAUUAGUUGCCAUCAUUUGGUUGGGCACUCUAAAGAGACUGCCGGUGUCAAACCGGAGGAAGGUGGGGAUGACGUCAAGUCCUCAUGGCCUUUAUGACCAGGGCUACACACGUACUACAAUGGCCGGUACAAAGGGCAGCGACACAGCGAUGUGAAGCCAAUCCCGAAAAGCCGGUCUCAGUCCGGAUUGGAGUCUGCAACUCGACUCCAUGAAGUUGGAAUCGCUAGUAAUCGCGGAUCAGCACGCCGCGGUGAAUACGUUCCCGGGCCUU
RNAcentral lists this ribosomal RNA (459 nucleotides) under uncultured Desulfocapsa sp. RNAcentral describes it as "bacterial SSU rRNA". It matches the Rfam family "Bacterial small subunit ribosomal RNA", at positions 923 to 1382 of the family's 1533-position model. The record is from RNAcentral. Lineage: Bacteria; Pseudomonadati; Thermodesulfobacteriota; Desulfobulbia; Desulfobulbales; Desulfocapsaceae.